This 572-nucleotide long non-coding RNA is filed under the name Rosa chinensis. RNAcentral's name for it is "sRNA RchiOBHm_Chr7g0240731". The record is from RNAcentral. Lineage: Eukaryota; Viridiplantae; Streptophyta; Magnoliopsida; Rosales; Rosaceae.
GCCCAAACUCCAUCUAGCCCCAGCAACAAGCCCCUGCCCAAACACCGCAAGCCGAGGCCCAAGCAGGAGAAGCUCCACCAGCAGGCCGAGCUUGGCCCAAACCCCCCACUGCCGACUGACCACCGACUACCUUGCCCUGCCAGAUCCGCCACCCAUGACGACCAUACCAGUUCAUGUCACCACGACCACAGCAAAUCCAAUCCAGAACGCGCCCAAACCUGCUCAGAUCAGAUCCCUCCCCAGAUUGGAUCCAGAGACCCAACCCGGAUCGCGCCACCGACCACCCCAGAUUGGACACCACUGAAGGAGGAUGAAACUGCCGCCGAUCCGAACCACGCCACGCCGCCAUGCCCACAACGCCACCCAGCAGCCUCCACACUUUCGCAACCAAAACCACUUCGCCGACCAAGCCAGCGAGGAUCAAGCCAAAACCCGACUGCCGCCUGGAUCUCCCUCCACCCCAAACUCCCCGAGCCGAACGAGAAACGUCGGCCGAAUGCGCAACUCACUCUAAUCCCAGACGGGAUCGACAAAAGCCCGUCCGACGACGGCGAAAAGGCUCGCCGCCGGAC